Molecule: non-coding RNA, 1427 nt
Organism: Schizosaccharomyces pombe (fission yeast)
Lineage: Eukaryota; Fungi; Ascomycota; Schizosaccharomycetes; Schizosaccharomycetales; Schizosaccharomycetaceae
Source: the annotation of a GenBank genome assembly
UUAUAACAAGGUAGGAUCAAAUAUGGUAACAAGUGAUUCAACUCUGAAGCAAAUCAUGAACUUAAAACCGGCGGUUAUAUACGAACAACCGCCAGACAAGUGGACAAAAGAAAGAAAUAUAAAACUGAAAUCAGUUUCGUUAUCGUUGUCUUCCACACUAAACUUCUACAGGACAUAAAAAGCGUUACGAAUGGUUUCAAAAAGACGACUUACUAAUUCUGCUAAAAGACUUCGGUACACGAAGGAAGGCGCAAAGACUUUUGUGAAAAACGCUACCAUCAUCGGAGCAGAUAUUAAAAAAUGCGGUAAAAAUCUCUUUGUUACUUUUUUCAGGAACCUUCAAAGCAACUGUAAAAUUAACAUCCUCACCAGGAUGAACGGAAGAAGUGAUAGGAAACGAAUAUGGAUUGUCUCCUGGAAAAAGUUUGUCUCCACCAUUAAACUUGACAUACAACGGAGAAGGCCACGAUUGACAAGAAGUAUUCCUUAUAUGCCAUAUUUUAUAAAACGGGCAGCCAGGGCUUAAUUCUAAGGGGAGAAUGGAGUCCUCAACUAACUUGAAGUCGAAAUUAAGAACCUUAGGUUUUUCAGGUUUAGAUAAAUGUAAAGGUGAAGCAGAUAUUUCGCGAGUUAAACGGAGCAUUGAAUGAUGAUCAUGAUGCACAUGAGAUACACAUGAGGAGCAAAGAUCAUAGUCUUCACAAACCAGACAAUGAAAUCUUGGUCCAACUAUUGGAUGAGCAAGACAGUUGUCACAUUGAACCGAUCGAUGUACUGUUGAGGCAGACUCAAACAAUUCGGCUGAUAGGAACUGAGGGAACAAAUGAAAUGAAGGAAGACCAUGAGGAUAAGCUUUAGUAAUUCGAACGAAAGCAUGCGUGUUUGAAUGACUAUUGUCGGUAAGGCAAGACUCACAAAUGUCGUAGUCAUCACAAACACUACACUUGUAACGCACAUUAUGUAUAGGUUGCUCACAAUGGUCACAAAUGGCGUACAUAAAAUUAGAUUGGGGAGAAACUGACAUAGAAUUUACGCUGCAGGUUAAGGAAGCAACUGAAGGGAUUGAAGAGCGAACAAGUACGAAAUGGGGUUUUGGGCAAGGAUGGAGGAAUGCCUGUUUCGCAUAGCAGUCUCUACAAACAUCGAAAUCGAAACACUUUGUGCAAUGAAAUGAGUCAUUCCGAAUUAUCUUGAGGCAAGUGUUACAAGCAACAGAAGAAGACCUUAAAGUAGGCGAAUUAUUAUUGUGCUCAAAAAUGUUUGACUUUAAAUUAUUCUCCUUAGUGAAGUGGAUAUUAGCGACUGAGGAAUGAAAAGGAGGGAAGGAAGGAACACUAUGGUUGCAAAGAAUCCCACAAUCAGAAGAGGGACAUGUACGAUUGCAAAGCAUUUCGGGAUCAAAAACGUGAAUAAAAUAAAAUAAAAUU